Molecule: unclassified non-coding RNA, 574 nt
Filed under: Hevea brasiliensis (rubber tree)
Lineage: Eukaryota; Viridiplantae; Streptophyta; Magnoliopsida; Malpighiales; Euphorbiaceae
Source: RNAcentral
GCAGCACUUGGUCUCACAUGAUAUUUUCCUAUUGACACACAGGAAUCAGAAAUAACAGACUGAAUUUCAUCAUCACUCUCUUCUGAAGCUCGGGAAAUGCCUGAAAAAGUGAAGUUCAGAGACUCAGCAGCAGGACCAUUAGUCAUCUCCACAUUCUUAGCGAUCGGAGAUGAAGCUUCCUCUGGUGAAGCAUGAAGCUUUUCAUUGUCCUCUGGAUUGGUUGGCGGCGCAAUGGCGAAACAGGUAAAACCACCAAGUGAUAGGUUUUUGGUACCAUUAGGCGUUAGAUUUCCAGAUGUAGGCACAAAUUCAGUGGCUCGAACUUGUCCCUUGCCAAAAGAAUGAUCUUGAGAGUAAGCUUCUUCAGAAUGUUGCCGGGAUGAUGAUGAAGAUUGACUGUUCUCUGGUUCCACCUUGUUUUUAGCGGGAAAAGAUGAUCGAGGUGACUGAGUGUCAGCAGGGUACACUGCUUUAACAGCAGAAAUAUUGUUUUGAGGGGACCUUGGCUGAGAUUCAGACCCCUUCUUCUUCCUGCCGAAGCUUCGAGAAGCUUCAAGAAUGAAAGAGCCUGAUU